UAAGGGAUAUUGGGCAAUGGGGGGAACCCUGACCCAGCCAUGCCGCGUGAGGGAGUGAGGCCCUACGGGUCGUGAACCUCUUUUGGAGGGGGAUAAAGCGCUCCGCUUGACGGUGCGUUGCAGGUACCCUCCGAAUAAGCAUCGGCUAACUCCGUGCCAGCAGCCGCGGUAAUACGGAGGAUGCGAGCGUUAUCCGGAUUUAUUGGGUUUAAAGGGUGCGCAGGCGGCCUGUCAAGUCAGUGGUGAAAGGCAGGGGCUCAACCCCGGCAGUGCCGUUGAUACUGACGGGCUGGAAUGCGGUCGAGGCGGGCGGAACGUGGCGUGUAGCGGUGAAAUGCACAGAUAUGCCACAGAACGCCGAUAGCGGAGGCAGCUCGCCAGGCCUGCAUUGACGCUCGGGCACGAAAGCGUGGGUAUCGAACA
This 423-nucleotide ribosomal RNA is filed under the name uncultured bacterium. Its description in RNAcentral is "bacterial SSU rRNA". It matches the Rfam family "Bacterial small subunit ribosomal RNA", at positions 355 to 774 of the family's 1533-position model. The record is from RNAcentral.